GUUACUCUGGACAAGCCGGAACUGCAAAACACCACAAAAAUCAAUCAGAACAGUAUUCCUGCUUCCCACUGGCCAUUCUUGCCUAUGAGGCUAAGUAUCAGGACAUCCAAUUCCUUCACUGACACUGGAGCCUACUUCUUCGGGAUUCUAGCACAUACAGAAACCAGCUGAGACAUCCAGCCUUGUGGGAUGAGCAACUACUGGAUUCUUGGAAUUUUUUGUUCACAGCUAGCCAUUGUUGGAUUAUCUGGAUUGCAGCCAUUCCAAUAAAUCCCAUAUAUAUGUUAUA
This is a long non-coding RNA of Arvicola amphibius (Eurasian water vole), 289 nucleotides long. RefSeq lists it as uncharacterized. The transcript has 2 exons. Lineage: Eukaryota; Metazoa; Chordata; Mammalia; Rodentia; Cricetidae. The record is from RefSeq and is a predicted model, not a curated record.